Molecule: unclassified non-coding RNA, 215 nt
Filed under: Hevea brasiliensis (rubber tree)
Lineage: Eukaryota; Viridiplantae; Streptophyta; Magnoliopsida; Malpighiales; Euphorbiaceae
Source: RNAcentral
GCUUUCCUUUAAGAAAGGUGGCCUUAAUCCAUGCAUUAAAAAUGCGUCCAUUACAAGAAUCAAAGUCCACAAAAUGGAAAGAUAUGGCAAUGCACAGAAGCAUUUUCUAAUUUUCAAGAUUUCCACUGUUUUGCAUCAAUGGGAGUAAAAUUAAUUGGAAUACUAUGAAUUGUAAUCAUUUUCAUUCCAAAAUUACACCAAAAAUAAGGAGAUAA